GCGGAAGUAGUUCAGCGGUAGAAUACAACCUUGCCAAGGUUGGGGUCGCGGGUUCGAAUCCCGUCUUCCGCUCCA
Molecule: transfer RNA, 75 nt
Filed under: Mammaliicoccus sciuri
Lineage: Bacteria; Bacillati; Bacillota; Bacilli; Caryophanales; Staphylococcaceae
Also listed under: 10 other names
Description: Staphylococcus sciuri tRNA-Gly
Rfam family: tRNA
About the family: Transfer RNA (tRNA) molecules are approximately 80 nucleotides in length. Their secondary structure includes four short double-helical elements and three loops (D, anti-codon, and T loops). Further hydrogen bonds mediate the characteristic L-shaped molecular structure. tRNAs have two regions of fundamental functional importance: the anti-codon, which is responsible for specific mRNA codon recognition, and the 3' end, to which the tRNAs corresponding amino acid is attached (by aminoacyl-tRNA synthetases). tRNAs cope with the degeneracy of the genetic code in two manners: having more than one tRNA (with a specific anti-codon) for a particular amino acid; and 'wobble' base-pairing, i.e. permitting non-standard base-pairing at the 3rd anti-codon position.
Source: RNAcentral